RNAcentral lists this transfer RNA (77 nucleotides) under Escherichia coli. RNAcentral's name for it is "tRNA-Ile". It matches the Rfam family "tRNA". Rfam says of the family: Transfer RNA (tRNA) molecules are approximately 80 nucleotides in length. Their secondary structure includes four short double-helical elements and three loops (D, anti-codon, and T loops). The record is from RNAcentral. Lineage: Bacteria; Pseudomonadati; Pseudomonadota; Gammaproteobacteria; Enterobacterales; Enterobacteriaceae.
GAGUUGUUAGCUCAGCCGGACAGAGCAAUUGCCUUAUAGUCAAUCGGUCAGUGGUUCGACUCCACUACAACGCGCCA